CACGAAGUCGGAAUUGCUAGUAAUCGUAGGUCAGCAUACUACGGUGAAUACGUUCCCGGGCCUUGUACACACCGCCCGUCAAACCAUGAGAGUUGGCAACACCCGAAGUCGGUAGUCUAACCGCAAGGAGGACGCCGCCGAAGGUGGGGUUGAUGAUUAGGGUUAAGUCGUAACAAGGUAUC
This 182-nucleotide ribosomal RNA is filed under the name uncultured bacterium. RNAcentral describes it as "partial 16S ribosomal RNA". It matches the Rfam family "Bacterial small subunit ribosomal RNA", at positions 1319 to 1500 of the family's 1533-position model. The record is from RNAcentral.